RNAcentral lists this ribosomal RNA (472 nucleotides) under uncultured bacterium. RNAcentral's name for it is "bacterial SSU rRNA". It matches the Rfam family "Bacterial small subunit ribosomal RNA", at positions 355 to 825 of the family's 1533-position model. The record is from RNAcentral.
UGGGGAAUAUUGCGCAAUGGGCGAAAGCCUGACGCAGCAACGCCGCGUGAGUGAUGAAGGCCUUCGGGUCGUAAAGCUCUGUCGGAGGGAACGAAUGCUCCUGAAGUUAACAGCCUCAGGAGGUGACGGUACUAUUUAUAAGGUCCGGCUAACUACGUGCCAGCAGCCGCGGUAAUACGUAGGGACCAAGCGUUGUUCGGAUUUACUGGGCGUAAAGGGCGCGUAGGCGGCAUGACAAGUCACUUGUGAAAUCUCUGGGCUUAACCCAGAACGGCCAAGUGAUACUGUCGCGCUAGAGUGCAGAAGGGGCAAUCGGAAUUCUUGGUGUAGCGGUGAAAUGCGUAGAUAUCAAGAGGAACACCUGAGGUGAAGACGGGUUGCUGGGCUGACACUGACGCUGAGGCGCGAAAAGCCAGGGGAGCAAACGGGAUUAGAUACCCAUGUAGUCCCUGAGCGGGCUGGCAAGGCGCAU